AGGGCAUGAUGAGGAUAUUUCUUAAGCAAUUCCUUAAAUCUUUCUGAUGAUUCACAAAUAGAUUCACCUUAUAUCUAUGUAAAUGAUAUAAUAUCAUUUUUAAGUUU
Dendrobium catenatum is the source of this 107-nucleotide small nucleolar RNA. NCBI's taxonomy places the organism in Eukaryota, Viridiplantae, Streptophyta, Magnoliopsida, Asparagales, Orchidaceae. The record is from RefSeq and is a predicted model, not a curated record.